Molecule: transfer RNA, 65 nt
Filed under: Dipodomys ordii (Ord's kangaroo rat)
Lineage: Eukaryota; Metazoa; Chordata; Mammalia; Rodentia; Heteromyidae
Rfam family: tRNA
About the family: Transfer RNA (tRNA) molecules are approximately 80 nucleotides in length. Their secondary structure includes four short double-helical elements and three loops (D, anti-codon, and T loops). Further hydrogen bonds mediate the characteristic L-shaped molecular structure. tRNAs have two regions of fundamental functional importance: the anti-codon, which is responsible for specific mRNA codon recognition, and the 3' end, to which the tRNAs corresponding amino acid is attached (by aminoacyl-tRNA synthetases). tRNAs cope with the degeneracy of the genetic code in two manners: having more than one tRNA (with a specific anti-codon) for a particular amino acid; and 'wobble' base-pairing, i.e. permitting non-standard base-pairing at the 3rd anti-codon position.
Source: Rfam by way of RNAcentral
GGUGGCUCAGUGGUAGAGUGCUUGCCUAGCAUGCAUGACGUCCUGGGUUCAAUUCCUCAGCACCA